CGUACACUCCUGCGGGAGGCAGCAGUGGGGAAUAUUGCACAAUGGGCGCAAGCCUGAUGCAGCCAUGCCGCGUGUAUGAAGAAGGCCUUCGGGUUGUAAAGUACUUUCAGCGGGGAGGAAGGCGAUAAGGUUAAUAACCUUGUCGAUUGACGUUACCCGCAGAAGAAGCACCGGCUAACUCCGUGCCAGCAGCCGCGGUAAUAAGGAGGGUGCAAGCGUUAAUCGGAAUUACUGGGCGUAAAGCGCACGCAGGCGGUCUGUCAAGUCGGAUGUGAAAUCCCCGGGCUCAACCUGGGAACUGCAUUCGAAACUGGCAGGCUAGAGUCUUGUAGAGGGGGGUAGAAUUCCAGGUGUAGCGGUGAAAUGCGUAGAGAUCUGGAGGAAUACCGGUGGCGAAGGCGGCCCCCUGGACAAAGACUGACGCUCAGGUGCGAAAGCGUGGGGAGCAAACAGGAUUAGAAACCCGGGUAGUCCCAUGA
Molecule: ribosomal RNA, 479 nt
Filed under: uncultured organism
Description: partial 16S ribosomal RNA
Rfam family: Bacterial small subunit ribosomal RNA
Source: RNAcentral